RNAcentral lists this ribosomal RNA (446 nucleotides) under uncultured bacterium. RNAcentral describes it as "bacterial SSU rRNA". It matches the Rfam family "Bacterial small subunit ribosomal RNA", at positions 330 to 793 of the family's 1533-position model. The record is from RNAcentral.
CCCAGACUCCUACGGGAGGCAGCAGUGGGGGAUAUUGCACAAUGGGGGGAACCCUGAUGCAGCGACGCCGCGUGGGUGAGGAAGUACCCCGGUAUGUAAAGCCCUUUCGGCAGGGAAGAAAAUGACGGUACCUGGCGAAGAAGCCCCGGCUAACUACGUGCCAGCAGCCGCGGUAAUACGUAGGGGGCAAGCGUUAUCCGGAUUCACUGGGUGUAAAGGGAGCGUAGACGGCGACGCAAGUCUGGAGUGAAAGCCCGGGGCCCAACCCCGGGACUGCUCUGGAAACUGCGUCGCUGGAGUACGGGAGGGGCAGGCGGAAUUCCUGGUGUAGCGGUGAAAUGCGUAGAUAUCAGGAGGAACACCGGCGGCGAAGGCGGCCUGCUGGACCGUGGCUGACGUUGAGGCUCGAGAGCGUGGGGAGCAAACAGGAUUAGAUACCCUAGUAA